UAGAAUUGACGGGGCCCGCACAAGCGGUGGAGCAUGUGGUUUAAUUCGAUGCAACGCGAAGAACCUUACCUGGGCUUGACAUCCCGAGAAUCCCCUGGAAACAGGGGAGUGCCCUUCGGGGAGCUCGGAGACAGGUGCUGCAUGGCUGUCGUCAGCUCGUGUCGUGAGAUGUUGGGUUAAGUCCCGCAACGAGCGCAACCCUUGUCUUUAAUUGCCAUCAUUAAGUUGGGCACUCUGUGGAGACUGCCGGUGUCAAACCGGAGGAAGGUGGGGAUGACGUCAAGUCCUCAUGGCCCUUAUGACCAGGGCUACACACGUACUACAAUGGCCGGUACAAAGGGCAGCGACACAGCGAUGUGAAGCCAAUCCCGAAAAGCCGGUCUCAGUCCGGAUUGGAGUCUGCAACUCGACUCCAUGAAGUUGGAAUCGCUAGUAAUCGCGGAUCAGCACGCCGCGGUGAAUACGUUCCCGGGCCUU
This 477-nucleotide ribosomal RNA is filed under the name uncultured Desulfofustis sp. RNAcentral describes it as "bacterial SSU rRNA". It matches the Rfam family "Bacterial small subunit ribosomal RNA", at positions 907 to 1382 of the family's 1533-position model. Lineage: Bacteria; Pseudomonadati; Thermodesulfobacteriota; Desulfobulbia; Desulfobulbales; Desulfocapsaceae. The record is from RNAcentral.